UGUUUCUGUGAACAGCUCCAGACAAAGUGGUUAGAGCGUCUGCCUCAGAUGCGGGAUGUCGCGGGUUCGAACUCCGACCGAGUCAU
Potamilus streckersoni is the source of this 86-nucleotide non-coding RNA. NCBI's taxonomy places the organism in Eukaryota, Metazoa, Mollusca, Bivalvia, Unionida, Unionidae. The record is from the annotation of a GenBank genome assembly.